This 253-nucleotide ribosomal RNA is filed under the name uncultured bacterium. RNAcentral's name for it is "partial 16S ribosomal RNA". It matches the Rfam family "Bacterial small subunit ribosomal RNA", at positions 524 to 776 of the family's 1533-position model. The record is from RNAcentral.
UACAGAGGUCCCAAGCGUUGUUCGGAUUCACUGGGCGUAAAGGGUGCGUAGGUGGUCGGGUAAGUCUGAUGUGAAAUCUCUGGGCUCAACCCAGAAAUGGCAUUGGAUACUAUUCGGCUAGAGGAGUGGAGGGGGGACUGGAAUACUUGGUGUAGCAGUGAAAUGCGUAGAUAUCAAGUGGAACACCAGUGGCGAAGGCGAGUCCCUGGACACUUCCUGACACUGAGGCACGAAAGCUAGGGGAGCAAACGGG